Long non-coding RNA from Spinacia oleracea (spinach), 703 nucleotides. RefSeq lists it as uncharacterized. The record is from RefSeq and is a predicted model, not a curated record. The transcript is spliced from 3 exons. Lineage: Eukaryota; Viridiplantae; Streptophyta; Magnoliopsida; Caryophyllales; Amaranthaceae.
GAUGGCGUUCUUUUCUGAUUACAAUGAUUGAUUUCUUUAUUCAAUUCUGCAGACAAAACAUCUAGCUGAGCUCAGAUUAUACACUCUAAUUCAACACUGAAGUAUAGAUGUAUAAUAUAUGUUGUCUUACAGUGUGCAGACGCAGCUUCUAGUUGAGCUAAACUCCCAUUUCUGGCACUGGAACUAAGUCUUUGUAUAGAUGUAUAAUAUAUGUUGGUUUUGUUUGCAGAGCACUUUUUGGUUUUCGAACCGAAAAAGGGUUGUUGAAGAAAAUUAAAAUGAGCACCAAGUUGAUACAGAUACAAUGUCCUCGGCAAAAGAAUGUCAUGGAUUCUGGAUAUUAUGUCAUCAGAUACAUGAAAGAGAUCAUCGACCAUAAGCAAACUCGAAUAUUUGAAGAUUACUUUCAUGAUUGCAAUGUUCCGAAUUAUGAUCAAGGACAAAUUUAUGAAGUCAGAGCUCAUUGGACGCGUCAUGUUCUUCUCAUGUGAAUGUUGUGAUGUAUUAAUUAUGUUUUUCGACUAGAAUUUCUCUAGAACGUUUUAAUUUUAUUUUAUUGGUUUGAAAUUAAAAGAAGUACUAUAUGACAAGGAUACUUCUUUCUGUUUUGUAGUGUGUUUUUAUUCUACUGUGUAUUUAGGCAUAUAUGAUUUUAAGUUAUGUACGAGACACCGAGACAUUUAUUUGAUAUGAUAGAAAUGAA